Molecule: unclassified non-coding RNA, 371 nt
Filed under: Athalia rosae (coleseed sawfly)
Lineage: Eukaryota; Metazoa; Arthropoda; Insecta; Hymenoptera; Athaliidae
Description: misc RNA ENSAEAG00005006729.1
Source: RNAcentral
UAAAAAUUAACCCCCCAUUAUAACCCAAGUUAUCUCCAGAGCCUCGACUUCAAAAUCUACUUUUCAGACAAAGGAGUAAACGUCUGGGAUUUCUGGACUCACAAAUAUCCAUCCCUGAUCGCAGACGAAAGUAACGGAGAUGUUGCUUGUGACACGUACAAUAAGUAUAAGGAAGAUGUACAGAUAAUCAAGAAUUUGGGAUUCAACUUUUUUAGAUUAUCGAUAAGCUGGUCGAGGAUCCUCCCGUCUGGCUUGGCGAAUGAAAUAAGCAAAGAUGGGAUACAAUACUACAAAAAUUUCAUCACCGAAUUAAUAGCUAACGACAUCGAACCCGUUGUGUCACUUUAUCACUGGGAUCAUCCGCAAGUUAU